Non-coding RNA from Phrynosoma platyrhinos (Desert horned lizard), 72 nucleotides. The record is from the annotation of a GenBank genome assembly. NCBI's taxonomy places the organism in Eukaryota, Metazoa, Chordata, Lepidosauria, Squamata, Phrynosomatidae.
GUCAGUGUGAUGUAGUGGUUUGAGUGUUGGACUACAGCUCUGGAGACCAGGGUUCGAUUCCCAGCUCAGCCA